Molecule: ribosomal RNA, 233 nt
Filed under: uncultured bacterium
Lineage: Bacteria
Description: partial 16S ribosomal RNA
Rfam family: Bacterial small subunit ribosomal RNA
Source: RNAcentral
UGGCGGACGGGUGAGUAAUGUCUGGGAAACUGCCUGAUGGAGGGGGAUAACUACUGGAAACGGUAGCUAAUACCGCAUAACGUCGCAAGACCAAAGAGGGGACCUUCGGGCCUCUUGCAUCGGAUGUGCCCAGAUGGGAUUAGCUAGUAGGUGGGGUAACGGCUCACCUAGGCGACGAUCCCUAGCUGGUCUGAGAGGAUGACCAGCCACACUGGAACUGAGACACGGUCCAG